GUUGGUGAGGUAACGGCUCACCAAGGCGACGAUGCGUAGCCGACCUGAGAGGGUGAUCGGCCACACUGGGACUGAGACACGGCCCAGACUCCUACGGGAGGCAGCAGUAGGGAAUCUUCCGCAAUGGACGAAAGUCUGACGGAGCAACGCCGCGUGAGUGAUGAAGGUUUUCGGAUCGUAAAACUCUGUUGUUAGGGAAGAACAAGUACCGUUCGAAUAGGGCGGUACCUUGACGGUACCUAACCAGA
Molecule: ribosomal RNA, 248 nt
Filed under: Bacillus licheniformis
Lineage: Bacteria; Bacillati; Bacillota; Bacilli; Caryophanales; Bacillaceae
Description: partial 16S ribosomal RNA
Rfam family: Bacterial small subunit ribosomal RNA
Source: RNAcentral